Molecule: long non-coding RNA, 410 nt
Filed under: Salmo salar (Atlantic salmon)
Lineage: Eukaryota; Metazoa; Chordata; Actinopteri; Salmoniformes; Salmonidae
Description: lncRNA (ENSSSAG00000089558.1)
Source: RNAcentral
GGUACAGAGUCAGUGUGGAGGUUAUAUACAGGGGGUACCGGUACAGAGUCAGUGUGGAGGUUAUAUACAGGGGGUACCGGUACAGAGUCAGUGUGGAGGUUAUAUACAGGGGGUACCGGUACAGAGUCAGUGUGGAGGCUAUAUACAGGGGGUACAGGUACCGAGUCAGUGUGGAGGCUAUAUACAGGGGGUACCGGUACAGAGUCAGUGUGGAGGUUAUAUACAGGGGGUACAGGUACAGAGUCAGUGUGGAGGUUAUAUACAGGGGGUACCGGUACAGAGUCAGUGUGGAGGCUAUAUACAGGGGGUACCGGUACAGAGUCAGUGUGGAGGCUAUAUACAGGGGGUACCGGUACAGAGUCAAUGUGGAGGCUAUAUACAGGGGGGUACCGGUACAGAGUCAAUGUGGA